Molecule: ribosomal RNA, 253 nt
Filed under: uncultured bacterium
Lineage: Bacteria
Description: partial 16S ribosomal RNA
Rfam family: Bacterial small subunit ribosomal RNA
Source: RNAcentral
UACAGAGGGGGCAAGCGUUGUUCGGAAUUACUGGGCGUAAAGGGCGCGUAGGCGGCCUGCUAAGUCGAACGUGAAAUCCCUGGGCUCAACCCAGGAACUGCGUCCGAUACUGGUUGGCUUGAAUCCGGGAGAGGGAUGUGGAAUUCCAGGUGUAGCGGUGAAAUGCGUAGAUAUCAUGAGGAAUACCAGAGGCGAAGGCGGCUACCUGGACAAUUGCUGACGCUCAGGCACGAAAGCGUGGGGAGCAAAAGGG